This 871-nucleotide ribosomal RNA is filed under the name Robillarda sp. GoF-062015. RNAcentral describes it as "eukaryotic LSU rRNA". It matches the Rfam family "Eukaryotic large subunit ribosomal RNA", at positions 66 to 964 of the family's 3401-position model. Lineage: Eukaryota; Fungi; Ascomycota; Sordariomycetes; Amphisphaeriales; Sporocadaceae. The record is from RNAcentral.
CAACAGGGAUUGCCUUAGUAACGGCGAGUGAAGCGGCAACAGCUCAAAUUUGAAAUCUGGCCUUCUGGUCCGAAUUGUAAUUUGUAGAGGAUGAUUUUGGUGCGGUACCUUCCGAGUUCCUUGGAACAGGACGCCUUAGAGGGUGAGAGCCCCGUACGGUUGGAUGCCUAGCCUUUGUAAAUCUCCUUCGACGAGUCGAGUAGUUUGGGAAUGCUGCUCUAAAUGGGAGGUAAAUUUCUUCUAAAGCUAAAUAUUGGCCAGAGACCGAUAGCGCACAAGUAGAGUGAUCGAAAGAUGAAAAGCACUUUGAAAAGAGGGUUAAAUAGCACGUGAAAUUGUUGAAAGGGAAGGAUUUAUGACCAGACUUUUUCUAGGCGGAUCAUCCGGUGUUCUCACCGGUGCACUUUGUCUAGUUUAGGCCAGCAUCGAUUUUCGGCAGCGGAUAAAAGCUUCAGGAAUGUGGCUCCUCCGGGAGUGUUAUAGCCUGUUGUAUAAUACGCCGCUGGGGAUCGAGGUACGCGCUUCUGCAAGGAUGCUGGCGUAAUGGUUAUCAAUCACCCGUCUUGAAACACGGACCAAGGAGUCGAACAUUUAUGCGAGUGUUUGGGUGUUAAACCCUCACGCGUAAUGAAAGUGAACGGAGGUGAGAGCCCUUACGGGUGCAUCAUCGACCGAUCCUGAUGUUUUCGGAUGGAUUUGAGUAAGAGCAUAACUGUUCGGACCCGAAAGAUGGUGAACUAUGCGUGGAUAGGGUGAAGCCAGAGGAAACUCUGGUGGAGGCUCGCAGCGGUUCUGACGUGCAAAUCGAUCGUCAAAUCUGCGCAUGGGGGCGAAAGACUAAUCGAACCAUCUAGUAGCUGGUUACCGCCGA